RNAcentral lists this ribosomal RNA (547 nucleotides) under uncultured bacterium. Its description in RNAcentral is "partial 16S ribosomal RNA". It matches the Rfam family "Bacterial small subunit ribosomal RNA", at positions 355 to 891 of the family's 1533-position model. The record is from RNAcentral.
UGGGGAAUAUUGGACAAUGGGCGCAAGCCUGAUCCAGCAAUGCCGCGUGUGUGAAGAAGGCCUUCGGGUUGUAAAGCACUUUUAUCAGGAGCGAAACGCUGUCGGCUAAUACCCGGCGGAACUGACGGUACCUGAGGAAUAAGCACCGGCUAACUUCGUGCCAGCAGCCGCGGUAAUACGAAGGGUGCAAGCGUUAAUCGGAAUUACUGGGCGUAAAGCGUGCGUAGGCGGUUUCUUAAGUCUGCUGUGAAAUCCCCGGGCUCAACCUGGGAAUGGCAGUGGAUACUGGGAGGCUAGAGUGUGUCAGAGGGUGGUGGAAUUCCCGGUGUAGCGGUGAAAUGCGUAGAGAUCGGGAGGAACAUCAGUGGCGAAGGCGGUCACCUGGGACAACACUGACGCUGAGGCACGAAAGCGUGGGGAGCAAACAGGAUUAGAUACCCUGGUAGUCCACGCCCUAAAGCGAUGCGAACUGGAUGUUGGUCUCAAGCCCGGAGAUCAGUGUCGAAGCUAACGCGUUAAGUUCGCCGCCUGGGGAGUACGGUCGCAA